This 277-nucleotide ribosomal RNA is filed under the name Aristerostoma sp. ATCC 50986. Its description in RNAcentral is "partial Bacterial large subunit ribosomal RNA". It matches the Rfam family "Bacterial large subunit ribosomal RNA", at positions 845 to 1118 of the family's 2925-position model. Lineage: Eukaryota; Ciliophora; Colpodea; Cyrtolophosidida; Cyrtolophosididae. The record is from RNAcentral.
AUAGCUCGUACUCCCCGAAAUGCAUUUAGGUGCAGCGUUGAGAUAGAGUGUCAUAGAGGUAGAGCUACUGAUAGGGCUAGGGGGCUUCACCGCCUACCAAACCCUGACAAACUCCGAAUGCUAUGACAUAUGCUCAGCAGUGAGGGCAUGGGUGCUAAGGUCCAUGUCCGAGAGGGAAAGAACCCAGACCACCAGCUAAGGUCCCCAAAUAUAUACUAAGUUGUUUUAACGUUGUGUGAUUACCUUGACAGCUAGGAUGUUGGCUUGGAAGCAGCCA